RNAcentral lists this long non-coding RNA (2093 nucleotides) under Lytechinus variegatus (green sea urchin). RNAcentral describes it as "uncharacterized LOC121416866". Lineage: Eukaryota; Metazoa; Echinodermata; Echinoidea; Temnopleuroida; Toxopneustidae. The record is from RNAcentral.
AACGGAGCACGCUAGCGCUAGCGCGCUAGCUACACACACAGUAGUGCAGUGGAAAUUAGAACUGCUGCAGUCAGCUGAUCGACGCGAAGACGACAAGAAGACGGCGACAAUAAAAAUGCCAAGCUCUUGUGCCUGCUAUUGUUGCUCCAAUCGUUGGAAGAGUGGAACGUCUAUUUGUUUCCACCGGUACAUGUAUUCAUCCAAGGGAUGACAGAGAAAAAUACAGGCAUACACUGACGGCACAGGCAGUCCCUUCUUUGUUUCUUUGUCAUCCACCCCUCAAGCAGCCUGUCAUCCAAAAGAGGAAGCCUCCCAUCAAAAGAAGUCUGCCAACAGAGGAUACAGUACCAUCUGGGCCUUCACCCAAAAGGAUUCACAAUGAACAUUCAUUAAUUUGAAUGAGGAGUUGAUGAAAGAAAAGCUGCAAGACACUCGGAAAAGGCUUGCUGAAACAAUGAAGGAACUCAAGUUUGCGAAAAGAAAAAUCAAGACGAGAGAGAAGACCAUCUCAUCUCUCCUUAGCAGCAUUUUUAUGAUAAAUAAUAUUUAGAAGAUGAAAAUGACCAUUGUGAACAGCUCAUUAGGCAUUUCAUUUUGCUGUACAUUAAGAUUGUUUCCCAACAUCACGGCAGGCUGUUCACUCGUCGUUCAGCCAUUAAAAAGGCCUCGUAAAAACCUAUUGUGCACCAGCUCCAAUCCCAUGAAAGAAUGUAAAGCUAUUCUACACAGCGUUCAACAAAAAGUGAUCGAAUCUGUUUAAUAGGCAUAAGGUGUUUAAAGACCUAAAAGCAACAUUUUAUAUCAAUAAUAUUCAGAAGAUGAAGGUGAUCAUUGUGUACAACAGCUCUUAAGGCAUUUCAGUUCGCUGUACAUUAAGACUGUUUCCCAUCAUUACAACAGGCUGUUCACUCGUCAUUAUGUUAAUUUGUCUUCUUGAUGGCUGAUUGUUAUUAACGAAGGCAAUUUUGCUUCUAGGUCAGUAAUUUUGACAAACCUGACUAUAACAAGGACAUUGGAACUCGGACAAUUUGUUAUUAAUGUCACUAAUCUCCCAGGAUUCAGAAGUCAGGAUUAAAAGAAAAAGAACAUGAAGGCUUGUGAUCAGCAAAAUUACAUUGUUAUAACAGGGCUGUAUGGUUAUAUCUGGGCCCCGUUGCAUAAAAGUUACUAUCAUGGAAACUUUGCCACCCAAUGGUAACUUUCAAGGGAUCCUUGAUUUUGAUUGGCUGAUGAGCAUUGUUACCAUGGUAGUUACCAUUGGAUGGUUAAGUUACCAUAAUGGUAACUUUUAUGCAACGGGACCCAGAUCACUUAAUAUUGAGUUUCAACAAUAUACAUGAUUUUAACUUUGAAAUACAUUUACUGUCAUUUUCCUUACCAGAAUUUUUCCAAAAAAUGAAAAUUGUUUUUUUGGGGUCCUCCAUUUAUCCUUCUGUCUAUUUGACAGAUCAGUUUUAAACUUUGAUCAUGUAUGCAUAAAGGGGUGAGGAGGAUAGAUAUAUUAUCUACUUGCUUUAUUGUUCCAGGAUUAAGUCAAGAAUCCAGUUACAAGAUAUUACUUUAGAACAAUUGCCAUAGGGGCUUUUGUUUUGUACAUGUAGUCAUGUACUACCAUUUUUAUACAUGUACAUCCCUUAAAAUAAUGAUAAAAAUGAAUGAAUAAAUGAAUGAAUAAUUGAUUGAAAAUCUGAAUUAAAAAACUGUAAUUCAAAAGCAUUCGUAUAAACAGUAUAAACAAUAUGGGAGCAAAGCAUAUAUCACUUGUAUGAUAUUCUUUUGGAUGUAUACAAUGCAUUUUCUCAAUGAUAAGAUUGCCAUUUUGAGUAUGUGUGUACAGUAAAAUGGGGGCAAAUUGGACACGGAGACAUAACCUAUGACUAUGACAUUUACAUAUUUUUGCUGAGCUGUUGGCUUUUUUGGAAAAUAUAUGUUUAUGAUAUGAAAGGAGUGGCGUAGAGGCAUCACUUUAUAACAUACAAAAAUAUUUUCAAUGAAACCAACUGAAAAAAAAAUGAUUUUGAAACUGUGUAGACUCACCCAUGUUAACAAUAUGCCAACUUUUUGAAAUUAAAUAAAGACUCUGUCAGAAAGGU